This 484-nucleotide ribosomal RNA is filed under the name uncultured bacterium. RNAcentral describes it as "partial 16S ribosomal RNA". It matches the Rfam family "Bacterial small subunit ribosomal RNA", at positions 30 to 507 of the family's 1533-position model. The record is from RNAcentral.
AUUGAACGCUGGCGGCAGGCCUAACACAUGCAAGUCGAGCGGAUGAAGGGAGCUUUCUCCUGUAUUCAGCUGCGGACGGGUGAGUAAUGCCUAGGAAUCUGCCUGAUAGUGGGGGAUAACGUCCGGAAACGGGCGCUAAUACCGCAUACGUCCAUAUGGAGAAAGUGGGGGAUCUUCGGACCUCACGCUAUCAGAUGAGCCUAGGUCGGAUUAGCUAGUUGGUGGGGUAAAUGCCUACCAAGGCGACGAUCCGUAACUGGUCUGAGAGGAUGAUCAGUCACACUGGAACUGAGACACGGUCCAGACUCCUACGGGAGGCAGCAGUGGGGAAUAUUGGGCAAUGGGCGAAAGCCUGAUGCAGCAAUGCCGCGUGUGUGAAGAAGGUCUUCGGAUUGUAAAGCACUUUAAGUUGGGAGGAAGGGCAGUAAGUUAAUACCUUGAUGUUUUGACGUUACCAACAGAAUAAGCAACGGCUAACUUCGUG